Molecule: long non-coding RNA, 732 nt
Filed under: Bemisia tabaci
Lineage: Eukaryota; Metazoa; Arthropoda; Insecta; Hemiptera; Aleyrodidae
Description: lncRNA ENSSSA3NGG010359
Source: RNAcentral
AGUUCCUUGCUCUCCAUUUCUUGGAAAAAUCAUGUUUGCAGUAGUAGCACUGAAGAAUUACUCAGAUCACCUUGUGAUUAUAAGUGAAGAGUGGAGACACAAAGAUAAACCGGAUAUGUGCUUUUACCCCAGUUCAAAGAAUGCAAAUGGUCUAGCAAAAAUUCACAAGCAACCCACAAGUGACUGGACACUGGAGCCGAUGGAAGUACUGCGUGAUAAUAUUGAAUCCUUUGGACUUGCUCAUAGGGCGAUGGUUAAAAUAUCCGAUGACAUAAGAUCCUCGGAGGAAGAGCAACCCCUAAAAAAGCGGCAGAUUCAGACACCAGCACGAUUCCUUUCAACGGAUGAAGAGGAACCUGCUAAAAAGCAGAAAGUCAAAGGAAAUUCGAAGGAAUCUGCGAAGAAAGUGAAACUGGGACCUGUGUGGCAGCCUCUAGCAAAGUCAACCCAAAUUACGAACCUUCCUAUUCCACCCGCUCCUUUUUCGGCCUUCAAAGCAAAAACCGGCAGCAUCAGUACUUUUACUCCUCCUAGCCCUGUAAAGCGUAAAAGUUCGUCACAAAAAAAUAACCCAAAAUUAAAUCCUCAAUUUCUAAAAAUUCGAACAAAACCUACAUCCACACUCUCCACGCCCUCCGAACUCCCCCUUUCUCUUGCAGAUUACUUUCACUCACCAGUAGAUUCCGAAAUGCACCUUCCCUCUCCAUCAAGCCAACAUCAUAACUAUGAAGU